CCCAGAGCUGAUUGGUCCAAGAGAGCCCCCUGAUCAGCAGGAUCAAUCGGGGGCUUCUGCUGCCACUUUAAGAGCAGGAUACCCAGUUGGGAUCUGCAGAGAAUUGGAGAAUUGCUUGGUAUGGAAAACCCGCACAUCUGGAGACCCGCAGUGUUGGCAUGAGUGUAUAGAGAAAAGGAUAUGUGUCUUCCUGUGAACUGACUCAGCCAUCCUUGGUGUCAGUGUCCUUGGGACAGAUGGCCAGGAUCACCUGCUCUACAGAAAACCUCACUGGUACCAUCAGAAGCCAGGCCAGGCCCGGCCCCUGUGCUUGCUAUAUUUAAAGAUAGUGAGCCGCCCUCAGGUAUCCCUGACAGAGUC
Molecule: long non-coding RNA, 360 nt
Organism: Cynocephalus volans (Philippine flying lemur)
Lineage: Eukaryota; Metazoa; Chordata; Mammalia; Dermoptera; Cynocephalidae
Exons: 3
Source: RefSeq, a predicted model, not a curated record